Molecule: long non-coding RNA, 1116 nt
Filed under: Manacus vitellinus (golden-collared manakin)
Lineage: Eukaryota; Metazoa; Chordata; Aves; Passeriformes; Pipridae
Description: lncRNA (ENSMVIG00005000015.1)
Source: RNAcentral
CACAGAGGCAGACCGAGACUGAAUUCUCCCUUUCUACGGGUGCUUGUAGUUGGACACAGCCUGUAAAAGCAAAUGAUUUAAUGAUUCAUUCUGGCAAGCAGGGAAGGAUGACUUCAGGUUUGAGCUUCCCACAUCACUUCCAGCAGCUCCCCCCGGAGAUCCAACACAUCAGUGGCCAAGAUGAUUGCACGUCGCAGAGCCAAGCGGUGCUGCCUUCUCUGCCUCUGGAGCAGGAGCACAAAGGAGGGUCCCUCUGUGGCACAUGGGAAUUCAGCAGCAAAACAGAGGCUGUGCAUCAACCUCAGGAGGACAAACUAAACCUCUCCUUUUUAUGUGGAGCCUUUCAGCUGCUACCUUCUCACAUAGUAAUUGGCACUGAAGAAUUGGCUGAGCAUCAGCACCAGUGGGCACAUAGAGCUUGUGACAGAAGACCAAGGCAAAUUGUGGAGACCAUCAGGUCUCCACCAUCAAGAAUGGGAGUCACUCAGCUGGCCUUUUUUCCUGCUCUGGCUGUAUCUCAACCAUUUGCCACAUAGCACAAACAAAUAUAGGGCCCUGACUGCCCAAAAAAUCCCAGUGUGUGGUACAUCAGUCGUCUCAACUUGGUACAUGUGGUCAGAACAUCAAAAUGCUACACUCUAGUGUAGCCAGCAUCACGCUAUCUUGCCAGCACCAAGCACCAAAAGCAGCUGGUCACAAAAAGGUUUGUGGCUGUCACCUGAGGCAACAUGGUACAUUCCUUUCUCAGGCACAUAACCUGGUAUUUGGAGCUCACUUCUUAAGAAAGAAAGACACUCAAAGAGCCUUCAUCAGUACAAAUAUUUUACACUAAAGGUAGUCAUACAUUUAACAUGUGUGCAUGAUUUCAACCCUGAGAAGUUUUAGGAUCUUGUUACAAAUUAUUAUUAGAGGUUUCAUAGAUGUCCUGUUUUCCUUUCCUUCCUUUCCUGCCAUGGCAGGCAGUGAAACCAUGUGACAGACAUGAGUCAAACCUAUCUAGCCAGGACCCUACUAGGGGUUUCCAAUGUUCACACAGAGCUUGACACCUCAACAUGUCAUUAUUCAGGCUCUUCUCCAUCUGGAAGAGUGAAUGGUCUGAAAAUGGAGUUUUCUUCU